Non-coding RNA from Rattus norvegicus (Norway rat), 23305 nucleotides. The record is from RefSeq and is a predicted model, not a curated record. NCBI's taxonomy places the organism in Eukaryota, Metazoa, Chordata, Mammalia, Rodentia, Muridae.
CCAUAGUUUCCCCUUUAGUGAUAAGUAAGCUAAAGCUAUGAGUAAAGCUUGGGGCCCAACAAGUGUGAGGACCCGAGUCCAUAUCCCCAGAACUGACAAAAGCCAACAGGACAGUUCAUAUCUUUAAUUUCAGAGCAGGAGAAUCCCUUGAAAUGUGAGGGCUAAAUAGGCAUGCAAACAGAACAACAGGCAUCAGAGAGCCCUGUCUCAAGGUGAAAGGUGAGGACUCACACCCGACUCUGUCCUUGUUCUUUUAAAAGUAUGUCAGAUUCUGCACACACACAGACACACAGUCACAGACGCACAGGCACACACAGACACAGACAGACACACAUACACGUACACACACAUGUACGCACACAUACACAAGUUUAAAAAGCUAUAAAUACAUUUAAAUUGGAACAUUAAUAUCCACUAUUCUUGAAUGUUUUUAUAUGGAUAAAAACUAACUAAAGUGAAUUAUUCAUGCUAAUUAAUUUGUUCGCAGUUAACAAAGUUUGUUUUUUUGUAUCUCAGUUUUAUAAUGACAGUCUAGGCAUAAUUCCUAGAACUCUCCUCAGCAUUGUUUAUCUGGAAAGUGGACAUUUCAGGAUUUGUACACAGGGAGCGUGAUGAACCAUAACUUUAAUCACUUUCUAGAAGCUGAGCAAAUUCCUAUCCUGAAGCCACUGUCUCAAAACACUGUCUGUCUGAGUGAAUCUACUGGUCAUUUCCCAGGAACCUCUUAGCAGGGACACAACUGAUUUCCCAGUUCCCAUAACCCAUUAGUGCACAUCUGGAUUGAAACCCAGGAACAUUGCUUUUUAUUUAACCCUUCAUACAGAUGUAAUUUGGCGUGCAUGUGGCUGAGUUUAAAAACAUGAUUUUUUUUAAUGUGAAUAGCUUUUCACACCCCAAACCCUCUUCACAGAGUUAAUAAUAUCAGGUGAGAGACCACAGUACUUGUUUUUAUGUAAGAAAGCCGUGUUGUAAGUCUUAGCUAGAAAACCUUGCCUGGGUCACUACUACCUCAGCUCAAACUGCCUGGAGAAAAGCUUCUUGAUUUGAGAUGGAAGAAAGGAUUAAACUCCCAUGAUAGACUUAAAAUCUAGAUCAGGCUCUCUAUCAUGAAAUCUGAUGCUGGUCAUGGGCCUAUGCACUGUGUCUGAUGUUGGCACUUGUAGACUCAACAGCUAGAACCAUAGAAGCCAGGCAACUGACUGUUUCUACUACCCCUACCUCGGCUAUGGCCAGCAGACGGCACAACUGGAUCCUUCUCUCUGGAGACUAGACACAAAAGUUACCAAGGAACUGAGCUCAAAGGAGGUCUGCUAUGGCUAGAUUGAAGACCAGACAGAGAACAAGCAUCCUUAGCUAUCCCAAAGUUCUGAGAGCCUCUAGGUCUUCCCUGGCAUUGAGCAGAGACAUGCGCACUGGUGAGAGACUACCCAACUUUGGUCUGCAUCGUUGCCUGCUUUGCAGUGGGCCUGGAAUACCCCUGGAACAGCCCUGGCAGUUGCCUUGGUUUCACGUUAGUGAUGACAUGAAUAAGACAUACAUCAGUGAAAGUUUCUGCCUGUCCCAGUUAAACACACUCAAGGCAUUUCGAUGUGCUCUGCUCUGCUCUGCCCGGGUUGCAUGUGAAUCUCCAAUUUGUUGACAUAAAAAAUUUGGAAAUUCCAGAAAAAGACUGACAACUAGGUGAAGAGGAGAAAAUUUUAAAUCGCAUGAGCUGAUCGCUUUCCUGGCAUAGUUCUUGGGAUUCUGUGCCUAGAUCCUUGUAUCAUCAGGCAGAAGUGGUUCUAUUUUCCACCUUUCUGAGCCUGGUAUCGUCCGUUUAUUUUGUUUCAGUAUUAUAUAUUCGUGAUUUGUCAUUGCGUAAAGAUUUUCCUACCACUUGUGGAGCAGCCACGAUGCCAGAGAACAUCUUUUUCUUGCUUUCAAAUUUAAGGAAAAAGCCUUAAGAUUUCCAUGAUUCAGUAAAGAUGACAGCUAUGCAUUGUCCAUGUUUCUUUCCAUCAGAUUAAGAUAAUUAAAGACCCAGCUAUACCACUCCUGGGCAUAGUACAAAAGAUGCUUCAACAUAUAACAAGGACACAUGCUCUACCAUGUUCAUAGCAGCCUUAUUUAUAAUAGCCAGAAGCUGGAAGCAACCCAGUUAUCCCUCAACAGAAGAAUUCAUACAGAAAAUGUGAUACAGACUAUUCAGCUAUCAAAAACAAUGACUUCAUGAAAUUCGAAGGCAAAUGGAUGGAACUAGAAAAUAUCAUUUUGAGUGAGGUAACGCAGUUGCAAAAGAACACACAUAGUAUAUACUCACUGAUAAGUGGAUAUUAUCCCUAAAGCUCAGAAUACCCAUGAUACAACCCACAAACCAUAAGGAGCUUAAGAAGAAGGAAGGCCAAAGUGUAGCUGCUUCAACCCUACAUAGAAUGGGAAAGAAAACAUCACAGGAAGUAGAGGGAGAGAUGGACUUGAGAGGGAGAAAGGAGGGGGGAAGAAAAAAGGGGAAGCAGGAUCAGGUAUGGGAAGGGACAGAGAGAAGUACAGCCUGUCAGGAAAUUGAAUAGAAACAUGUAGCAGUGGGGGAUGCGGAACUAGGGACAGCCACUAGAGAGUCCCAUAUUCCAGGGAAGCAAGAGGCUCCCAGUACCCAAUGGUGGUUGAUGACUUUAAUCAAAACACCCAAUGAAAGGGAGAUAUAACCUGUAGAGACCAUAUCCAGUAGAUAGGCAUGGUCCCCAGUUGAGGGGAAAAUAAAAAAAUAAAAAAAUAUUCAUAUUUUCCUGGUUUGGUUAUAAAUGAAGCCUAUAUUUUGUGAAAUGUUUUCUCUGCUUCAUCUUGAUUGUGCAUUCACAGAAUUUUCCACAGGUGGUAUGUUUAUACUAAUUUCCCCAGAUACUGAACUCAUAUUGUGUUAUUUAGAAUAAAUCAUACCUACUACUGUUGCAUAAUUAUUGAAUUCAAUUUCUGAACAGUAUGUGGAGAUUCUAUUUUAAAACAACAACCAAAAGAAAAAAGAAAAAAAGAAAAAAAAAGAAAUGCCAGGAUACACACUUUUCUUUGGUAUGUAAAAUUUAUAUUGUCUGUGUCUGAUUUAGAUACCCAAUUAAUAUCAACCUCAACAUUUUAUUUUUAUAUGAAUAUAUAACUUUGAGGUUUCCUUUACUCAACCUUUGUGUUAAACUAUGUAAUUAUUUUUAUGAAAAUUUCAUUUUAAUAUUAGAUAUUCUAGGGUGAUUAUAUUAUAAGAUUACGGUAGUUGUUGGACAUAUUACUACAGUUAUUUUCACCUUUGUACAGUGAAACCAAAUUUAUUAGCUCCCCUGACCUUACUAAUUUGAAGGAGGAAAGGUAGGGCCACUUGCUUCCCCUUUCCUGAGAUGUCAGUUUUUUAACACUGGGAGGAUGACAUGAUUGGCCUUCCCCACAACUCCUCACUGACUACGACAUCAGCUACACAUUGAAGCACCUGUUCUGUAUAAGGGCAGCUUAUAGUCUUCCUUUUAAUGUAAGAAAAACCAACUGAACAAACAGAAAAGCACUGCAGGCCAGAAGGCAAAAGCAGCCUCUCCCAGGCAUAUCCUCCUAACGAGCCCUUGUCAUGUGAAGGAGGGUCAGUCAAAUGCCCUCUAGGUAAAGUGUCCAUACUUGUGAUGCAACUACCCAGGCUUGCCGAUAGAAUACUGAUGCACUGCUCCAAACCCUGCACAACAUUAAGAGCUCGCCGUGUGCGGGGUUUUAAGACAACAUAUGCCUUAACAUUUGGCCUGCUGGCAGUGUUCCAAAGAUGAUGGACAACUAUAUAAGGAUCUGUAAAAUUCCGCCUUUCUUGAGUUGAAUGCCUUCACUAUUGACAGUGGAUAUAUAUUUAUGCAUAUGUGGGUAUGUGUAGAUAAGAAAGCAUGCAAUAAUAAUCAUACUCUGAGUACCGAACCAUAAAAUUGUUUGAAUAUUGUUUUAAAUACAUAUAAUUUUCAGAGACUUCAUUACAUGUGCAUAGAAUAAGUCCUGUAUGUAACUUUGAUAGGUUCCAGAAUUAGGAAGCUUUUAUAUAAAUGCUUGGGUAUGAUCUCUCAGAAUUCUGAUUGACUGAAAGGUCAUAUCAUGCCCAAAUGUGGUGAUGCAUUUGAGAUACUAUGGCAGAAAUGUUACUGUUCGUUCAGGACCAGCCUAGGCUAUGCAGUAAAUUUGGGCUACAUUGUGAGACCGUCUCUAAAAGAAAAAAAGCAUGGAUCUGAAUAUGCCACACAGUCUAUUCUACAUGUUGCCUAAUGGGCAAGAUGUCUUCCUCUGGGUGAUACCCUCAGCCUAACAUCGUAUGUGCCAGUGAUGUUUUUGUUGUUGUUGUUUGUUUAUUUUUUGUUUUUGAAUUGUCUUCAUUUCAAUUUGAUAAUUAGAAUUAAUAGAAAUUAAGUCUGCCAAUGUCACUUUACAUUAACAAUUUAAGACUAGGAUUCCGAGAUCAGUGGCCUGGCUGAUACCAACCCAAACUUUGCAGCCUUCCUGCUUCCCAGGAGAUCCUCAGUAACCAAGGAAACAGGUGAGAAUUCUGCCCAAAUAGCCACAGCAGCUGGAACAUCCAUACAGCCCAGCAGACAAGGAACAUACCCCCUGCCUCACCGCCCUGAGCUCUAUCUCCCUCUGGCCUACUUCGUCACCCAGACCAGACAAGUGCCCAGAUACCCACCCAAACUCUACAGUCUGUGGGUCUCCCAGGAGGUCCACAGUAAUCAGGAGCACAGGAGGUACACAGUAACCAGAAACAACACUGACUGACUCCAAGGAGACCAGCUCUAACUCAGGUCACAGAGCUCUAUCUGUCUGCAAGGAAACAGAUUCCACUCAGAAACACCAGGGCAGUUAACACCAGAGAGAAGCAGAUGGCUAGAUGCAAGUGCAAGAUUAUAAGCGACAGAAUCCAAUGCAAUUUGGCACCAUCAGAACCCAGUUCUCUCACCACAGAAGACCAGAAUACCCUAACAUGCAUGAAAACCAAGAUACUGACCAAAAAUCCCAUCUCAUGAAGAUGACAGAGAUCUUUAAGGAGGAUAUAAAGAACUCCCUUAGAGAAAUACAGGAAAAUACAAUCAAGCAAAUGAGGAAAUUGAACAAAAAGGCCCAAAAACUGAAAAUAGAAAUAGAAACAAUAAAGAAAACACAAAGGGAGAUAAACAACUUAGUAAAGAGACCAGGAGCUACAGAUGCAAGCGUCACCAACAGAAUACAAGAGAUAGAAGAGAGAAUCUCAGGCAUCGAAGAUACCAUAGAAAAUAUUGACACAUUGGUCAAAGAAAAAAAGCUCCUAAUCCCAAAUUUCCAGAAAAUUCAGGGCACAGUGAAAACAUCAAACCUAAGAAUAAUAGGAAUAGAUGAUGGUGAAGAAUCCCAGUUCAAAGGGUCAGAAAACAUCUUCAACAAGAUCAUAGAAGAAAACUUCCCUGACCUAAAUAAAAAGAUGGCCAUAGAUGUGUAAGAAGCCCGCAGAACAACAAAUAGAUUAGACCAGAAAAGAAAAUCCUCUCAUCACAUUAUAAUAAAAAUGUUAAAUGCACAGAACAAAGGAAGAAUAUUAAAAGCUGUAAGGGAAAAAGGCCAAGUAUCACAUAAUAGGCAGACCUAACAGAAUUAUAACAGACUUCUCAACAGAGACUCUAAAAGCCAGAAAAUCCUGGACGGAUGUCACCCAGAAGACCCUAAGAGAACAUAAAUGCCAGCCCAGGAUACUAUACCCAGCAAAAUUCUCAAGCAUCAUAGAUGGAGAAACCAAUAUAUCCAUGGCAAAAACAAAUUUAAACAAUAUCUUUCUACUAAUCCAGCUGUACAGAGGAUACUGGAAUGAAAUCUUCAACACAAGGAAGGUAACUAUACUCAUGAAAACACAAGAAGGAAAAAGGUCAACAACAAACCCAAAGGAAGAGAGUCACACACAUACCACUUUCAGCAACAAAAAUAAUAGGAAUUAACAAUCAUGUAUUGUUAAUAUCUCUCAAGAUCAAUGGACUCAAUCACUCAGUAAAAAACACAGACUAACAGACUGUAAUUGUAAACAAGACACAGCAUUUGCUGCAUAUAAGAAACACACUCCAAUGACAAAGAUAGACACUACUUCAGAGUAAAGGGCUGAAAAAAUUUUCCAAGCAAAUGGUCCCAAGAAACAAGCUGAAAUAGCUAUUCCAAUGUCCAACAAAGUAGACUUUCAACCAAAAGUUAUCAAAAAAGAUGGGGAAGAACACUACAUAAGAUAGUAUGGAUAGUACACUGGAUAAGCUCUCAAUUCUGAACAUUUAUGCCCCAAAUGCAAGGCCGCCCACAUUUGUAAAAGAAACAUUACUUAAGCUCAAAGCACACAUUGUACCCUACACAAUAGUAGUGGGAGACUUCAACACCCCACUCUCACCAAUGGAUAGAUUAUGGAAACAGAAACUAAACAGAGUAAAAGUGAAACUAACAGAAGUUAUGAACCAAAUGGAUUUAACAGGUAUCUACAGAACAUUUCACCCCAAAACAAGAGAAUAUAAUUUUUUUCUCAGAACCUCAUAGAACCUUCUCCAAAAUUGACCAUAUAAUUGACAUAAAACAAGCCUCAACAGAUACAAAUAGAUUGGAAUAAUCCCAUACAUUCUAUUAAAUCACCGAGGACUAAGGCUAGAUGUCAAUAACAACAAAAACAAUAGAAAGCACACAUACUCCUAGAAACUGAGUAACACUUUGCUCAUUGAUAACUUGGUCAGGGAAGAAAAAAAGAAAGAAAUUAAAGACAAUAGAAUUCAAUGAAAAUGAAGAGACAGCAGACCUAAACUUAUGGGACACAAUGAAAUCAGCGUGAAGAGGAAAAUUCAUAGCUUAAGUGCCUUCAUAAAUCAAUGGAAGAGAUCCCGUACAAGCAACUUAACAACACACCUGAAAAGCUCUAAAACAAAAAGAAGCAAACACACCCAAGAGGAUUCCAUGGCAGAAAAUAGUCAAUCUCAGGGCUAAAAUCAACCAGAUAGAAAUAAAGAGAACAAUACAAAGAAUGAACAAAACCAAGAGCUGGCUCUUGGAGAAAGUCAACAAUACAGAUAAACCUUUAGCCUCACUAACUUAAGGGUACAAAGACAGUAUCCAAAUUAACAAAAUCAGAAAUGAAAGGGAGGCAUACAACAGAACUCAUGGAAAUUUUAAAAAAUUAUCAGAACCUACUACAAAAGUCUAUACAAAACUGGAAAAUCUAGAUGAAACGGAUGAUUUUUCUAGACAGAUGCCACAUAUCAAAGUUAAAUCAAGAUCAGGUAAGCUAUCUCAACUGUCCCAUAACCACUAAGCAUAUAGAAAUAGGCAUUUUAAACCUUUCAACUAAAACCCAAGGCCAGAUAGUUUUUGUGCAGAAUUCUGUCAGACCUCAAAGAAGAACUAAUACCAUUACUCCUCAAACUAUUCCACAAAAUAGAAGCAGAAGAAAUACUACCUAAUUCAUUGUAUGAAGCCAGAGUUACUCUGAUAUCUAAACCACACAAAGACUCAACAAGGACAGACAACUUUGGACUAAUCUCACUAAUGAAUAUAAUGCAAAAAUACUCAAUAAAAUUCUCCAAAUGAAAUCCAAGAACACAUUAGAACCAUUAUUCACCAUGAUCAAGUAGGCUUCAUCCCAGGGAUGCAGGGAUCAUUCAAUAUACAAAAAUCCAUCAACGUAAUACAAUAUAAAAACAAACUCAAGGAAAAAAAAUGAUCUUUUCAUUAGUGCUGAAAAAGCCUUCAACAAAAUACAUUAGCCCUUCAUAUUAAAAACCGUGGAGAGAUCAGGAAUUCAUGGCAACAUACCUAAAUGUAAAAAAAGCAAUAUAUAGCAAAUCAACAGCCAACAUCAAAUUAAAUGGAGAGAAACUAGAAACAAUCCCACUAAAAUCAGGACAAAGUUGCCCACUCUCUCCAAAUCUAGUCAAAAUAGUACUUGAAGUUUUAGCUAGAGCAAUUAGAUAACAGAAGGAGAUCAAGGGGAUAAAAAUUGGAAAGGAAGAAGUUGAAGUGUCACUAUUUGCAGAUAAUAAGAUACUAUACAUAAACAACCUCCAAAAUUCCAUCAGAGAAAUACUACAGCUAAUAAACAACUUCAGCAAAAGGGCAGGAUAUAAAACUCAAACAAGUCAGUAGCAUUCAUUUAUAUAAAUGCUAAACAGCAUGAGAAAGAAAGUAGGGGAAAGUACCCUUGACAAUAGCCACAAAUAAUAUCAAAUACCUCGGUAUAAGUCUUACCAAGCAAGUGAAAGAUCUGUACGGCAAGGACUUCAAAUCCCUGAGGAAAGAAAUUGAAGAAGACCGGAGACGAUGGAAACAUCUCCCAUGCUCAUGGAUUGACAGGAUUAUCAUAGUGAAAAAACAAUCUGCAGAUUCAAUGCAAUCUUCAUCAAAAUUCCAACACAACCCUUCACAGACACGGAAAGAGCCAUUCUCAAUUUCAUAUGAUAAAAUAAACAAAACAGGAGAGGCCAAACAAUUCUCAGCAAUAAAAGAAUGUAUGAGGGAAUCACAAUCCUUGAUCUCAAGUCUCAAGCUGUACUACGAAGCAAUAGUGAUAGAAAAACAAAACAAAACAAAACAAAACAAAACAAAACAAAACAAAACAAAAAGUCCUGCCUGGUAUUGGUACAGAGACAGACAGGUUUUUCAAUGGAAUAGAAUUGAAGACCCAGGGCUGGAGAGAUGGCUCAGCGGUUAAGAGCACUGACUGCUCUUCCAGAGGUCCUGAGUUCAAUUCCCAACAACCACAUGGUGGUUCACAACCAUCUGUGAUGGGAUCUGAUGGCUAAUUCUGGUGUGUCUGAAGACAGUUACCGUAUGUGCAUAUACAUAAAAUAAAUAAAUCUUAAAAAAAAAAGAAUUGAAGACCCAGAAGUAAACCCAUACACUUAUGAACACUUGAACUUUGACACAAAUGCUAAAAUCAUGUCUGACUGGUUUGACCUCAGUGGGAAAAGAUAAGGCUUAUCCUUAAGAGACUUGAGGAACCAGGGAAUGGGGAGGUCUGGAGUCGGGAGUCCCUUCUUGGAGGCAAAGGGGAGGCAGAAAGGAGUAAGGAACUGUGUGAGGGGGACUGAGGGGGACAAUGUAGAUAAUAAUGUAAUGUAAUAAUGUAAUGUAAAUAAAUCAAAUAAUUUAAAUUUAAAGAGACUAAGAUUCCACUAUUUUUUAAUAUUUUUGCUUAAAAAUCAGAUUUAUUUUUGUGUCUGGAAAAAUUACAUGUAAGACAUUUCUUAUGUAUUAUUAUUUUCACAAUUUUAUCAAGUUUAUCAUCUGUGAACUUUGGCCUCUUAAAUCAAACCCACAAAUUUACCUAUUUUUACUCAUUUUCCAUCAUUUACCUUUCGUCUGACUUUCUGAGAAAUUUUUGCCAGUUUUGCCUUUUUAGCCUCUCUAUUAAGUUUUAUUUCAAGCACUAUAAUUUAAUAACCAAGAGGCUUAUCAUAUUCUCUUACUUUUUAAUAAAAGCCUGUUGUUAGCUCAUGGAUACUUUAUCUAAUCUUGUCUCUCUGGAGGCAUUAGCUUUUACCUGUUUUGUCCGUUGUUUUUGUAUUAUGCUCUUCUUUCUUGUUUGUUUCUUCUCGUUGUCUUUGGUGUAGAAUUUCCAUAGCAUCUGUUGAUCAGUGCUGGCUGUAAUUUCUGAGCAGAUGGAGCCAUGGAACUGUCUAUGGCUUUGUGAACCUAGUUGGGGCUAGAACUCUUUGGAGAUUUUUUUUCUCACACAGAACACCUUACAGCAUCUGCAGAUUGUUAACAAUAAUAUUGCUCUGUUACAUUGAGGAUGCUACUGGAAUCUGUUAGGCAAAGGCCAGGGAUUCAAUUUCCUAUGAUAUAAAUGAUGCUCCCCACAACAAGGAAUUGUAUGGAGUUCAACGUCUCUGGUGCCACUUUGCUCAUUCCUUAUGUACAGUAGACAGAAAGCAAAGUCUAUCUUUAGUUAUCUUCCAAAUUCAUGUCUGUGGAAUUUUCCUUUUAUGCCGAUGACUUUCGCAAAGGAUAAUUCCCAGCUCCCCAUGUGCUUUAGAUGAGCAAAAUGAUGCUUUAAACAUUUAUGCUUUAAAACAACACUCAAAAAGCAUAUUCAUUUUCAGACUGAAAACACAUAAACUGUAAUCAAUUAUAGAUAUUACUCAGUAUUCACUAUAUAUUUUGGAUCCUCGUCUCCCAAAUAAAAACAAAUUUUAUGAAUCUGUACGCAUUUGGUAUCCCAGAUUUCCUAAAAGUAGUCAAAACCUUAUUUAAUCAGAUUUGUAUUGAAAAGAAAAUGUGAGUACUUUUCAGCUAGAUUCUGAUAGGAAUGCCUAAUCUCAAUGUCAGUCUAGGAUGAUAAAUCAAGCAACAGGUGGCUGCAAGGAUGAGAAGAUGUUGGCAAUGGCCAACUUGAGACAUAUAAGUGAGAAAUCACUGCAUAAAUAAUUGGGUAUGUGUGACAAAGUGUUAUUCAGUUAUUAAUAGUGGUGCAUCUGUGGUACUUUGCAUAACAAUGGUUCUCAUAAACUCACAUGUUUCAGUACUGGUUGGUUUGGGAAGGACCAAGGAGAUGUGGCCUUAUUGGUGUGUUAUAGGGAGCAUCUUCGAGGUUCCAGAAGACUGACGCUGUUCUCAGUGUGCUCUCUGUCUCCUGUUGUGGAUCAAGAUGUGAGCUCUUAGCUGCUGCUCCAGCCUCCUGUUGCCCUGCUUUUGCUUUGCCACCAUGGAUUCUAAUUCUCUGGCACUGUAAGCCCAACCAAACUCUUUCUUUCUUGAUUUGCCUUUUUCAUAGUGCCUUAUCACAGCGAUAUGAAAAUAACUAGUAUAGUAUCCAUGACUGGAGAAGAAAUAUAUGACUUGAUACUGAAGGAUACAAAUGUAGCUUUAAAACAAAUUGUGCCGGUAAUUAUCAAAAUCAAAUGUACACAUACCUACCACCUAGUGAGCUCACUGUGUAGCUAUUUGUAAUGUGAGAACCUUCCUAUUUUUAAUACACAAAUCUGUUUAAGUUUCCUCAUUGUCUGUGACACAAGAAAUAGCUGUAGUGUGUGACGAUGAACACUUGUCUAGAUAAAGCCUAAGAAUCAUGGUAUUGGCACGCAGUGGUACAUACACAGUGUGUCACUUAGAAUCAGGAGGUAGAUUGCUAGGCACUGAGAAGGUUGCUUGCAUUAUGUUUAGCAUAAGUUCUAGGACAGCAUUAUUUUUUCAUUUUAGUUGAUUUUAGUUGAAUGGGCAUACAGGGACCAAUUUCCUGCUAGUACCUCUGAAAAUUAAAAAUAAAAAUAAGAAGAAGAUAAAUGUUCUAUCUUCCAGUUUCACCUGUUAGGCCCUGUUUUUCAUGUUCACAGUAAAGAUUAAAUUUUAUAGUUAACAACAGAGGUCAUAUUUUUAGAAAGUGCCAUUUUAGAGGUGGUGUGCCUUUCUGGCAGUGGAAGUAAAAUAUUGAGGAAGGCACUUCCGGUGCGCAGAACACACAGAAAGGGGUGAAGGCAUCAGAGAUGGUGGUGUGUCAUUAAAAGCAACAACUAUAAGCUCUCUGGCAUUUUGAAAAUAACGUAAGCUCAGUACUCAAAAUCAGUUCUGACAUUUCUUAUCACAGACGUCAAGGCAUGUAUAAAGUAGAGGGAAAAGCAUUUGUAUAUCUCCAUGUCCUUUCAAGUCCUGAAUCAGUCUGGCUUUCCGGAUGUCUCAUUCUUUCCAAUCAUGAGCCUCAUGCAGUAGCCGGGGCUCAGUGGACAGUCACUACAUUUGCAUUUAUUAUUCUAUGACAUCAUCAGUGACAGACAAGGAAUCUGAGGGUAAAAAGUGUAACUUUAGCUGUUACUUUUAAUGAAUUAGUCCCAGUGUCUUGUCUCUGCACCUGAGAUGACUUUUCAACCUCUUGGAUCUUUUGAUGUGUUCCUAAAGUACUUGAAAGUGACCAAAAGCUUCACUAGUCAAUCACGAGGAUGUCAAUAAAUCUGGAGUCAGUGAUGGGAGAGAAAUAAUUCUGCUUCUAAAGAAGGGAGCGUGGUGUGUAUAAACCCAUCGGAGACCCAUCCGGGUAACACUGUCUUAAGCUUUUGACAAAUUUCUACUCAGUGAGAAGUUAAAAGGACCAGUGUUUGUGUUGCUUGCUUAUUUGCCUUCUAAUAAAAAAAUUAAGUUGAAAAUCCCGUAGGCUAAGCAAUACAUUUUAUGAAAUGUCACCAGGUUUAUAUUAGUCAUCGCGGAUGUAGUCAGAGAUAUCACACAGAAACCAUCUUGAAAGAAAAAAAAAAGAUGAGGUGUACUUGGUGGCAAAGUCUGGAAUCUCUAAGCAGCGUUGGAAUAUUUUAUCCCAAUUUUCUUGUUUCCCGAGGUAUUUUCUGUCUGCCAAGCCCUCUGAAGUUUCCACACUUUAUAUUUACUUAAUAUUUGUUUUUAUGGUACAUAUGUUUCUACUCUGGUAUUUGCAGAGGUAUUCCUGAGAAACCACUAAGCUUUACAACUGGGAUGUAAAUGUGCACCAGGCUUAGCCUAAUGAGGAAUUCCACCUGAUAUUCCUGAUCCCGUCUCCCUCAUGUAUUCAUUGAUCUUCUGAGAUGUGUGGACUUAGCACUGACAGUCGGUGUGGAGGAGUUGGGGUGCUCUGUAAUGAUACAGUGGGAGGUCAUGACUAGUGAUGGUGAUGGUGGGGAGAACUGAGAGUCGAUGGGCACAUCCUUAGCGAUGGGUAUUUUUAUUCCACAAAAAGAGACUCUCUGAGAAGAAUGUGUCUGACAAUGACUUGGAAAGCCAUACACAUCUCCUCACAUGUACCCAGGAUGAUAAGCUGCUGUCCAUGUUAUACGUCAAAUGGAAUUACACAAGGCCACAUGAAUACACAGACACCUGGUUUUAUUUAUUUUUUUUAACAUCGAAUGAGCCAUGCUUAUCAGAGAAAAAUGCAGUGAGAUCUUUAAUAAUUAGGAAUAAAACUGCUUCACAAGUAGUAAAGCACUCGUUUGUUUUAAGCUUCCUUACGGUGUCCUUUCCACACAGGCAGUUGCCACAUGCUUGUAGUACCUGCAGUGGCCAGCAGAGUGAGUAAGAGCUGACCUCCUGGAGUUAUGUAGCUUGAGGGCCAUCACAUGGGUGCUGGGAACUGAACUCGGGUCCUCUGGAGGAGCAGUAAGUAUUCUUAACCACUGACUCAUCUCUCCAGCCACUGCCUCCCAAAUCAGUAUUUUUCUCAUGUUACUUUUGUGUUCUUAGUGAAUUUUAUGCUACAGUUCUAAAUGGUAUGAACUUUUGAGAAUUCUAUAAAAUUUAAGUUGCCAUAUUUUGCAAUUUAUUUUUGUAAUAUAGAACACCAAAAUCCAUAUGAAUUUUCAUCAGCCUGUACAUAUCUAAAAGUUAUUCAUUGUUUAUAUGAAACCCAAAUGUUUCUGAGCACCCUGUGUCUUACCUUAUGAUUCUAUACAAAGUAGCAAUCAGGGGCUACUAAAUGUGUACUCAAUAUCUUCAUAAUCUUAGGACUCAUUAAGGUAAUGUUUGAUAUGUAUGCAUUCUUUCUUUGCUAGAAAUGCAUAUUAUAAUUUUUCUCCUGGUAAGUAUUAUCAUAUUUUAUACAAAAUUUCCAAAAGAAAUACGAAGAAAUUUAAUUAGACUCAAGGGCAUGAAAAAGGUUUUCAAUCUGUGAUAUUAAUUGUAAAAUUAUACUACCAUCAUCUGUUUCUUUCCAGAACUAUAAUUACUUUUAAAAUCAUAGCCAACUUAGGUAAGUGCUAGCACACUUCUUUUAAGCUAAAUAGAAUGUAUCUUAAUGUAACAAUUUUAUGCUAAAAUACAAUUUCAUUAUUUACCUUUUUAAAACAGUAAAUUGCCAUGCAAUCAACCAGACCUGCUGCCUCUUCUUAGAAUUUUUCUAUUGUUUGACCCUUUCAUAUAUGUAUAUGAUGAAUUUAAGUCAUUUUCAUGCCCCACUCACCUCUCUCACUACUCCUCCUCCCUCUGCAAUGCUUCUUUUCAACAGGCCCCUCUCCUAUUUCUAUGCCUUCAAUUAGUGUGUGACCUACUGAAUUUAAUUAAAAUGCUUGCAUUAGCGUGGGUGGGAGGUUAUUGGCUGGAGCAGGGGCAACUUAUGAGCAGCUUCAUUCCUUAAUAAGAAAGAAAGUAAGAAAGGAAGGAAAGAAGGAAGGAAGGAAGGAAGGAAGAGAAAAGAAAACAAAAGAAAAAAGAAAAGAAAGAUAGCUCCUCUCCCAACACUGCCUAACUACUCAGUGUCCCUCACAGACAGGCCCUAAUGAGUUACUUCUUCAUCUAUGAUGAAUCGUUGGCUUGCACAGUGGUACAGGUAGUGUGCAUAUAAUCAUAGCAGCAAGGAGGUCCUGAGUGCAACAUCCCUGCCAUGUUCUUAUAGCAUCUUUCUGCUGGGUAUCUCCCCAUCCUCUGACUCUUACAGUCUUGCUCCCUCUUCCUGUGUGGUAUUUCCUGAGCCCUUUAGAGGGCGAUACAGAUGCCCCAUUUAGGGUCAAACACUCUAGCAUCACGAGUUCUCAGCACUUUUGGCAGUUACAGGUUUGUGUUUGCUGCAGGAAGACGUUCUUCUGAUGAUAGGUGGACCUUGUACUAACCUCCAGCGGCAAACUAGAACUGUGUGCACAACCUUUCUUAACACUCUCUGCAUCGCUCUACUCAGCAGUCUUUUGCCAGUGCAGAAUCUCGUAAUAAUUCACUUGACCUUUCCCUCAGCCCAGUCUUGUUUUCUCUCAAUCUCUCCAACGGGGCCAUACUUAUACUUGUAUAUAAAUCAGUUUAUCUACUCUCUAAACUAUGCAUCAGCCUAACUUUCAAUGACAUCACCUUUAAAUGCCUGUGAGGCAUGCAAUGUUUUUUGGUAUCUGGGCCAUCUGGUAUCCUAGCACACCUCCUACUCCUCACUGGACAGGUUUCUGUCUUCAGAACUAGCACAUAGCUUUAAGUAUACUUUGUUAUGUCACAGAUGCAGGUACUUGGCAAUUUCUCUUUCCUGUGCCCACAGAGUUCUGCCCUGCAUCCCUGGUAAAGGCUCAGCAGUGUGGCUAACAUCCUAUGAUCUCUCAUUUGUUCUCCCUGGGUGGAAAUGACCACGUUGUGCACCUGACUUAUACAGAAUCUUCUGUAACCAUGGAUCCCCAGAGACGAGCUCCCCGAGGGCAGAAAAUGAGUUCUAAUUACUUAGUUUCACUAGUUCAUAAGAUCCUAGUUGCAGUGGGUGAACAACUUGCGGCACCAGCAUCAGAGACAACAAUUUAUAGAGCAUGCAAAAUAGCGAGACACCCUGCUGAGUUCCUUUUAUCUGUUGUGGUGGUUUGAAUGUGCUGUUUUGAAAUGCCCCCCAUAGUUAUGAGCAGUCGAACACUUGGCUCCCACUUGGUGGUGCUGUAUGGGGUGUUUAGGAUGUAUAUAAUCUUAUAGCAAGGUGUAUGUCACUGGGGGUAGACUUUGAAUGUUUAAAUACUCAAGCCACUGCCAGAUUACUCUCUCUGCUUUGUGCUUGCAGUUCAAGAUAGUAGCCUCCAGCUUUCUUCUCCUGCCACCGGGCUUUUGCUUAACCAUCAUGGACCCUCAUUCUCUAGAACUAGAAGCCCUAUUAAAUUCCCUCUUCUAUAAGUUGAUGUGGUCAUGGUAUUCAAUCACAGCAACUGGAAACGUCUUUAUUAACCCCUGACAUCUUUAUACAAACCCAGCGAGCUAGGUUACAUCUUCACUCAAGUUUCCGACAAGGGAACUAAACUCCAUUUGCAUUGUGUGAAGGGAUCAUGGACAGAAAGGAUUCUGGCCUCUGUUCUGAAGAGGUUUUGAGGGAAGCUUAGAAAUAGAGGUACAGGUGCCAAUGUAGAGUGGUAGCAUGAGGAAGAAGACUAUGCACUGCUGGGAAGCAUAAAAACCCUGACCUAAAGGCUUGAAUUAUAAAGCUCUUGGCGUAUACACAGAUCUGCAUGUAGGGACAAAUGAGAACAAGCAGCCAUGAUCAGAAGCCAGUUUUCUAAGGCAAAUGUAAAUGAUAUAGACUUGUCUUUUAUGAAGUAGGAAGUUUUGACACAUGGCCUAUAUUAUAUGGCUAUACUGUGUGAAUUAGCAUAUUCGUAACUCCGUUUAUUAGCAUUUGACAUUGCUUUGGCUAUGGGUCCUACUCACAAUCCCUUCAGAAUAAACUGCUGAAUUAACCAUGUAGUGGGCUGGCCUGGUACUGCUUGUGAGCAUUUUAAUGCUCAGAUUAAACUGGUGCCCAAGAGACCAGAGAGUCUGCAGGCAGACGCUAGCUACGUGACUCUCCUCCAUCCCCGGUUAUUUCUGAUUUGUAAACAAAAGAUGCCAACAGGCAAUAGCUGGGCAGAAGAGAUGUAGGUGGAGUUAAGUUCCCUGGGUUUAGGGGAGAGAGGAACCCUGAGGAGGAGAAGUAGACGGUGAAGAGGAGAAAGGAAAAGCCACUAUACGUUAGGAGUAAAGAAAACAUGGCCUUAAGGGUUGACCAGUUGGAGUUAAGAGCAACCCAGAAGAAACAUAGUAAGUCAUAACUGAAGUAUCUGCUCAGCUCUUGUGCUGUUUAAGGCUUAUUGUAAAUGUAAAGGUUGUGUGUGAUUUUUUUUAAUCUGGGAACUAAAUGAUAAACUGCAGGAUAGAACCCCCUGGGUCAGGGUUAAAUAAUUUCUACAAAAAACCUCCUAUGUUUAUAAGCAGUCACCAAAAGCCUUCAGAGAAGAGACAGAUUUAAAAAAUGUGAAGGACCUGGGCAUGGUGGUAUUCCUGAUAGCUUAAUACCCUAGCAUUCAGGACACUGAGGCAGGAAGAUCACAAGUUCAAGGUCACAUAGCAAAAUUCUGUCUCAAAGUAAAGUACACAGAAGUCAGCAACAAGAUUAAAACAAAGGAGAAGUGCAGAAUAUUUCAAGGAUAUGCAAUGACGUUUGAACAAAAGAUAUUUAAGAAAAUUUAACAACUUUUGAAUGAUGCAAAGUCAUUAAGGAGAGAAUUAAAAUGUUAAAUCCUUAUCAAAAGGAAUUAUAAGAUGUUGGAGCUAUAAACAUGGCCUUCAGGGUCACACGGGUGAUGUUUACUUAAAAGAACUACUUAGAGAUGCAGUUUAGAGGUGAUGUUAAAGGUAUUUUGUUUGUAUGGUGAGGUAAAUUGAGCAACAGAGAGUCUUGCCUAUUAUUUAAGUGAUUUUGACACGCCAAAUUUUCCUGUGAUUGUGUAAGAAAGGAAUAAAAUGACUCCAGGUUUUAGAUUCCAAGGUACAAAGUUCUAAACCUCACAGAUUCCAAGUGCUCGCGCUGACACUUAGCAGACAUGCCAUGGUGCACACGUACCACAUCUUUUCAGAGCCUUGGCUGCUUCCUUAGACCAUAAAACAACCACGUAAAGUUGUAUGGGUGAAGUCAUAUAGGGUGUAUAGAGUGGCCUUGGUUUAUGACAUGGUGAGUAUCCCCAACAAACGUUAGCAACAUAGUAUUCCUCAUUGAAUAAACAUGAUCACUGGUCAGUAGAGCGUCUAAGAAUAUGUGUCAGAAAACAUUGAUCUUAUUAACUGCUGUCUGUGUGGAAUCUGGGGUCCUAUCUUGAAAAGCCUUCACUAUUACGUCAGAGAGUUUGGACUCCAUCUUAGACAAAAGCAGAGCUCCUGAUUGAUCAUGGGGACCGUGGAUGAAAACCUGUGUUUGAGGCAGCAGUGCCCAAUGAGUAGGGAAGAGCAGAGGACAGAUGGCAGGAGGCAAAGGGACUCAAAGUGAGGGCGGGAGAAAGACGUAUGAGGCCGAACACGACAGAUACACUAGAGUUGCCAAGAGCUGAAUGUGCCAAAGGAUCACCCAUGGUUCAUCUCACUUGCAUGCAUCAUAAACCAUAACAGAUGCAUUAAUUCACAAUUGACAUUUAAAAAGACUGCCACAUCAGCGUUUCAGAUCGACUUUGCUGUUACUAAGAAUAGAUGCAAUAUUGAUUUUGCCAUUUUCCGGUCAGACUUCACAUGUAUCACAGUUCAGGUAUUUAAGAAAAAAGUCUGUUUUAAGCACCCUUUAUUUCACCAACACACUCUUCCCACUUUGGAAAGGAAUUCACCUCCAUGAUUACAUUUAGUUUUCCCUCGGCAUCACUUUAUCUGAUCUCCUUUUGCAGCUGCCUGCCCUGGGCGGCUCAGGACCAGAUUACAUACAGGUCAGUGCUUUUGAAAGUGCCUCAAGGAAACUCUCCAAUCUGCCAUGCCAUCAUUUCCAUCAGGUUUCCAAGGAGAAGCUACAAUUCUCUUAAAUCAAUCAGCGAUAUGGUGGGAUCAAAGGGGUUUGAAUCCCAUGACAAGAUACUCAGCUUUACUGGAAAGUGGGCAUGGUUUGAACGUCUCCUUCCAAGUGAUUGUGCAACACUGUUGUAUUAACACUCCCGGCAAUAGGACUGGACCCGGAUGCCUUUGUUUUUAGUACAUCUUCUCAGACUGCAGCCAAUGUUUUCCUUUAAAUCCUCUAUUGGAAAUGAGUAUUUCUUCAGCUUCUUCCCAAGUAUCUACCUUACCUUCUCUCUUUUCGCCUACCCUUCCACUCUCCAUUCUCCAUUCUCCAUUGUCUCUCUCCCUCUCCUUCUCCCUCUCCCCCUCUCCCCCUUUCCUCCACUCCCUCUCUUUGUUCCCCCUCCCCCUAAGUCUGGGCAAUGCUCAUGUUUCUUGAUUUUGUUGUGAAAGUACUCUACCCCUGAGCUGCAUCCCCAGACCAAUUUUAUUUUUAUUUGGAAAAAGGGACCCAAUGGAUUGCCUAGGCUGGCACUGAAAUUAAAAUCCUCCCAACACGGGCUCCAGAGUAACUGGAAUUGCAUCUUCGUAUGUUUUAAAAAAAGAAAUCAAUUAUCUAAAGCACAUCAUAAUUUAGAUCCAAUAAUGAGUUCUUCACAGAUUUAGGCUGUCUUCCGGGAAAGAAAUUAUCAGGUACAUUGGGUAGAAAUUGUAGAAUAUUCACCCUCUAGAGUGCAUGGCUACUGGGAUGUGUGGCUUGGCCAACUGCAAAAAUUAUAGUCUGGUUUCUGAAUCAAGUUGUAGCCUGUUCAGUUAAUCCAAGUAAAACUCUUAAUACCAGUCCAUCUUGGGAAUAGUUUGCAGUUUCACUUGGAGAGGCUAGGACAUCUGCCUGGUCUCUCACUCCCUUGGAGAAUACAGGGCUAUCCUGGCUGGAUACUCUAAUCUAAGCUGCCAUGACUCUAAGAAAUGGACAGAGAUUUAUCAGUGACAGGUAAUUCUGAGGGUCUGUUUUCUUACUUCCUUUCUUCUUUCCUUCUUAAGUACAGUUGCAAAGGAACAUAUAUGUCUUAGCUUCUGUUAACUACUAGAUAGACUUUAGACAGACAUUUGGGCUUAGUGUUUUAAUCACAAACAUUUCUUCAGUAAUAACUACCUCACAGUCUGAUUGUGUCUUUUUAAAACCUAGAUUACUGAGAGUAUUUUUACGAGUUUGUGUAUGUGAAAGAGACCUAGCGUUCGCUGAGCAAAUCAGCAAAAGCUGUUGCCCUGACACCCACCAAAUGAAGCUGGUGGUAUAAUUAAUGGUCGGAUCUUCCAUCUGGAGACAUCCUGGGCAAAACACUAGGUCACUAAAGCCCCAUCAUUUUCAGAGAAAACAAUAAUAAGGCAAGGCAAUUCUGUAACUAUUUCCUCACUUGCUUCCUUUAGAUAAAAGGGAGGAACUACCUCUCCAUGUAGCCAGAGGGCUUCGAAAAGAGUGUUUAAAUCAAAUGCCAGAUGAACAAGACCUCAAGCAAAUCAUCUUGAAGGGCUGAUAGCAUCUAAACCUCCAAUGUUUUGUGGGUAGCAGAGUUUACAUGCAGCUCUUACAAAAAUGAAUCCCUGAAGCCUACAGAGGUCUUCUGUUACUGUGGGUCUAAGGCUUUGCAGAGCACAAUUGUCAUAACAAUGCUUAUAAGGGAACAGAAUAACAAACUAGUGCUUUAGUAUAUCUUAAACAGAGCUCCAAUCCGCCUCUAAUGUAAUCAAACAAGAAGGUAUUAAACACACACACACACAUACACACACACACACAUACACACAUACACACAUAUACACACAUGUACACACACAUAUACACACAUACACACAUAUACACACAUGUACACACAUAUACACACACAUACACACAUAUAUACACACACACUCAUACACACACAAACACACACAUACACACACAUACACACACAUACACACAUACACACACAUACAGACAUGCACACACAUACACACACAUACACACAUAAACACAUACACACACAUACACACAUACACACACAUACACACACAUACACACAUACACACACAUACACACACAUACACACAUACACACACAUACACACAUGCACACACAUACACACACAUACACACAUAAACACAUACACACAAACAUACACACAAACAUACACACACAUACACACAUACACACACAUACACACAUACACACACAUACACACACAUACACACAUACACACACAUACACACACAUACACACAUACACACACAUACACACAUGCACACACAUACACACACAUACACACAUAAACACAUACACACAAACAUACACACAUACACACACAUACACACAUACACACACACACACAUACACACAUACACACACACACAUACACACACAUACACACACACACACACACACACACAUACACACACACACACACACCCCUUUAACAUUUGUAUCAGUUUAGCAUUGAAUGAGAAGGGAGCAUAUACCCUUCAUUUUGUCAGCAAAAUAAUCUGCCCACACCAUUAUUAGAAGACUCCUUCCAAGUCAUUUCAAGUUACUUUGAAUCAAAAUGAUUUUAUUUUUUUUUCUGAGAAGGAAAUGUAUCCAACUUCAGAUGUGCAUUAAAAACCAUGGUCCAGCAAGAUAGCAAAUUCCAAUUUCCUAUGAUCAGAGAAUCUUAUUACCUUUAUCCCCUUGCUUCCUUCCUGUUCACAGGGCAAGUUAAAAGAUGCUUCUCAGUUAGAAUUUGUCUAGGUCUAUAUCCUCAUAAAUGCAAGGUGUUGUGCUGGGUACAGGUCAAGCAUUGAUCUAAAAAAAAUGUAAUAUUGAAGCUCUAGUUUAUUUCUGGUGCUGUUUAGAUUUCCCAUUUCCCCAUGUGUUGUUAAAUGUGCAGAUUGCAAAGCAACAUAUUGUAAGUGACAACUUUGCACAAUAGUGGGAAUCCGCAGAUGGUGUGUCUUUUCAAAUAUGACAAAUGCCCAAUUUAAUGCUGAUUUGUGGUGAUCAGGAAAAUGCUGCGAACUCUUUGGGCUCAGACAUGUCUUGACAGCAGAUCCACAGGGCAUGGUGCUCGUCAAAGUUAAAGGAUGCUCUUAAAGUAAUUCUAGUGGCUGUGAUUCUAUUGCAUGUGUCUUCGUCUGCUACAUAUAAAUAUAAUAGACUAUAUUAAUAAAUUAUAUUUAUUUUGGGUUCAUAACGAAAAGAAAUGCCGAAGUGCAGUAGUGACACAUAUGUCAGCAGAAGUGAGCUACCAUCUACAUGGAUUUAAGACCCUCUAAACAGAGGAAAGCCAUGCCUGAUAUCCUAAAUCUAGUGAGGCCAGUGAGGUCAUGAAUCUUAAAGGAGAACCUAUGAUUGCCAUUUUCCUAAAUCAGUCUAAUUCUUAACUACAGUCUAAAUAUGUGCCCUGAUAACUAAAGAGAAUAUAAUUCUUACCUUUCAUCAAGGAAGUUUACUUUGACAGCGACAGAAGUCAUUAUAGAAAGCUACAGCUGGUCAAAAUGCAAAGAACAACUGGCUGCAGGGGUUGCCCAGGCCCAAGUGAGCUGUCUACAACAGAACUUCUAUACCUCACACACAGUUACCAUCACUGAAGGGGAAGUGGAAAGACUGUUAGAACCAGAGGACCAGGAAAGCUUCUGUAAGGUUGUGCCUUUAUAUAAGACACAGAAGCCGGUCUUACGCAAUCUCAACGAUAUGUCUGCCCAAGGAAGACACAAACAACUCCAACACCUUAUGACAGCUCUCUGUGGAUGGGCAAAUGACGUAAAAUUCCACGGGCAGCACCUCUAGAUGAAGAGCUACAAUAAUCAGCGGCUGAGUGAGGGAGAAUUAGUCUUCCCCAGGCACGAACUCCUGCAUUUUAUCCAAUAAUAUUUUACCCAAUACUAAAUGAUCAUAGCUAAAUAAACAUAUACAUACAAGUAACACUAAGUGGAUUUAGAGGAUGUAUCUACAUAUUUAUUAAUAGAUAUUUAAAGAAAAAAGGUCAUGAAUUUUAGAGGGGGUCAGGUAGGAGACAUAUGGGAGAGAGUGGAGUUGAGGAGAGAAGGCAAAUGAUGGAAUAUUUAAAUUAAAAAUAAAAUUUUUAAAAAACAAACGAAACUCACAAAAGAAACUGUCUAGACUCUUUUUUUUUCUUUUCUUUUUUUCGGAGCUGGGGACCAAACCCAGGGCCUUGCGCUUGCUAGGCAAGCGCUCUACCACUGAGCCAAAUCCCCAACCCCUCUGUCUAGACUCUUAUUAAAUUCCCUCCUUUAGUAGAUUAGAAAGCCCAAAGUCAAGUAGAAGUUACCUGGUUAACGGAAGUCGAAUGGAAAGAUGAAUCAAGACAUGUAUUUUUAUCCCUAUGUCUUUCAAAUUCUGCAUGAAUCAACUGACUAAAUUACAACUUAAUCAAGAAACUACAGACAUACACUACCACUAUCAGUUCAAUGUUUUCCAACAAAAUACUGAGAUAUGGUGUGACAAAAGUACAUUCUUCCAUUAGUAGCACACUUUCCUUUUUCUAAUGACCACCAUCCAUUCAUUUGCUUCUAAUCAUUUUUUGGGGGGUAGGAAACAAUUUAUUAGGCAGGAGCUGAUACAGAGGCCAUAAAGGGGUGCUUGCUUCCCAUGGCUUCCUCAGCUUGCUAUCUUAUAGAACCCAGUACUACUAGCCCAGGGAUGGUACUACCCAGAGUAGGCUGGCUCUUCCUCCAUGAAUCAACAAUUAAUUAUAGCUGGAUCUUAAGAAGACAUUUUCUUGAUUGAUGCUCCUUCCUCUCUGAUGAUUAGAUUGUGACAAGUGUCUCCCUCAAUUACACUCAUAUAUAUAUAUAUAUAUGUAUAUAUAUAUAUAUAUAUAUAUAUAUAGAGAGAGAGAGAGAGAGAGAGAGAGACAGAGAAGGUCUCAGUGAAUUAAGUUCGCCAGUUUUGCUAGACUAGCCAGACAGCAAACCCCUUAGAGUUCUUCAUGCUAUCUAUUUUAAAGACUUGUCUGUUGCUAUGUAUUGUAUCUGUAUCCCAAGGUCUAGUUGCCUCUUUUUUUUUUAAACAUUUUUUUCCAUCUUUAAUAACUUGAGUAUUUCUUAUUUACAUUUUGAUUGUUAUUCCCCUUCCCAUUUUCCGGGUCAACAUCCCCCUAACCCCUCCCCCCUUCUA